This 301-nucleotide ribosomal RNA is filed under the name uncultured bacterium. RNAcentral's name for it is "partial 16S ribosomal RNA". It matches the Rfam family "Bacterial small subunit ribosomal RNA", at positions 509 to 807 of the family's 1533-position model. The record is from RNAcentral.
CAGUAGCCGCGGUAAUACGAAGGGGGCUAGCGUUGUUCGGAAUUACUGGGCGUAAAGGGCGCGUAGGCGGCCAUUCAAGUUAGAUGUGAAAGCCCUGGGCUCAACCUAGGAAUUGCAUUUGAUACUGUUUGGCUUGAGUUCGGGAGAGGUGAGUGGAAUUCCCAGUGUAGAGGUGAAAUUCGUAGAUAUUGGGAAGAACACCAGUGGCGAAGGCGGCUCACUGGACCGACACUGACGCUGAGGCGCGAAAGCGUGGGGAGCAAACAGGAUUAGAUACCCGCGUAGUCCCUGUCUCUUAUAC